Molecule: transfer RNA, 89 nt
Filed under: Clostridiales bacterium
Lineage: Bacteria; Bacillati; Bacillota; Clostridia; Eubacteriales
Also listed under: 1 other name
Description: tRNA-Ser
Rfam family: tRNA
About the family: Transfer RNA (tRNA) molecules are approximately 80 nucleotides in length. Their secondary structure includes four short double-helical elements and three loops (D, anti-codon, and T loops).
Source: RNAcentral
GCAGAUGUACCCAAGUGGCUCAAGGGGCUCCCCUGCUAAGGGAGUAGACUGGGAUAACCGGUGCGAGAGUUCGAAUCUCUCCAUCUGCG